GAUGAAGAACGUAGCGAAAUGCGAUAAGUAAUGUGAAUUGCAGAAUUCAGUGAAUCAUCGAGUCUUUGAACGCACAUUGCGCCCCCUGGUAUUCCGGGGGGCAUGCCUGUCCGAGCGUCAUUGCUGCCCUCAAGCACGGCUUGUGUGUUGGGCCCCCGUCCCCGGUUUCCCCCGGGGACGGGCCCGAAAGGCAGCGGCGGCACCGCGUCCGGUCCUCGAGCGUAUGGGGCUUUGUCACCCGCUCUGUAGGCCCGGCCGGCGACAGCCGACACCCAACUUUAUUUCUAAGGUUGACCUCGGAUCAGGUAGGGAUACCCGCUGAACUUAAGCAUAUCAAUAAGCGGAGGA
This 348-nucleotide unclassified non-coding RNA is filed under the name soil metagenome. RNAcentral's name for it is "partial contains 5.8S ribosomal RNA, internal transcribed spacer 2, and large subunit ribosomal RNA". The stretch from base 1 to 120 matches the Rfam family "5.8S ribosomal RNA", at positions 35 to 154 of the family's 154-position model. The record is from RNAcentral.